GACGAACGCUGGCGGCGUGCCUAAUACAUGCAAGUAGAACGCACAGUUUAUACCGUAGCUUGCUACACCAUAGACUGUGAGUUGCGAACGGGUGAGUAACGCGUAGGUAACCUGCCUGGUAGCGGGGGAUAACUAUUGGAAACGAUAGCUAAUACCGCAUAAUAUUAAUUAUUGCAUGAUAAUUAAUUGAAAGGUGCAAUUGCACCACUACCAGAUGGACCUGCGUUGUAUUAGCUAGUAGGUGAGGUAACGGCUCACCUAGGCGACGAUACAUAGCCGACCUGGGAGGGUGAUCGGCCACCCUGGGACUGAGACACGGCCCAGACUCCUACGGGAGGCAGCAGUAGGGAAUCUUCGGCAAUGGACGAAAGUCUGACCGAGCAACGCCGCGUGAGUGAAGAAGGUUUUCGGAUCGUAAAGCUCUGUUGUAAGAGAAGAACGGGUGUGAGAGUGGAAAGUUCACACUGUGACGGUAUCUUACCAGAAAGGGACGGCCAACUACGUG
This 505-nucleotide ribosomal RNA is filed under the name uncultured bacterium. RNAcentral's name for it is "partial 16S ribosomal RNA". It matches the Rfam family "Bacterial small subunit ribosomal RNA", at positions 28 to 507 of the family's 1533-position model. The record is from RNAcentral.